RNAcentral lists this transfer RNA (86 nucleotides) under Felis catus (domestic cat). It matches the Rfam family "tRNA". From Rfam's summary of the family: Transfer RNA (tRNA) molecules are approximately 80 nucleotides in length. Their secondary structure includes four short double-helical elements and three loops (D, anti-codon, and T loops). RNAcentral also lists the same sequence under 1 other name. Lineage: Eukaryota; Metazoa; Chordata; Mammalia; Carnivora; Felidae. The record is from Rfam by way of RNAcentral.
GCCUGGGUGGCUCAGUGGGUUAAGCAUCUGACUUCAGCUCAGGUCACAAAUCUCACCGUUCGUGGGUUCGAGCCCCCCAUCUGGCU